AUGUGGGAGGAAUGCUUGCCUCAUAUUGAAUUUUCUUAUAAUCGUUCAUUGCAUUCUACUACUAAGAUGUGCCCUUUUGAAGUUGUGUAUGGUUUCCUACCUCGUGCACCUAUUGAUUUGUUGCCUCUUCCAUCUUCGGAGAAGGUUAAUUUUGAUGCUAAACAACGUGCUGAAUUGAUUUUAAAAAUGCAUGAGUUAACUAAGGAAAACAUUGAGCGCAUGAAUGCUAAAUAUAAACUUGCUGGAGAUAAGGGUAGAAAACAUGUUGUGUUUGCACCUGGAGAUCUUGUUUGGUUACAUUUGCGUAAGGAUAGAUUUCCGGAUUUGCGCAAAUCAAAGUUAAUGCCACGUGCUGAUGGUCCCUUUAAGGUGUUAGAGAAAAUAAAUGAUAAUGCAUAUAAACUUGAGCUGCCUGCAGAUUUAGGGGUUAGUCCCACUUUUAACAUUGCAGAUUUGAAGCCUUAUUUGGGUGAGGAAGAUGAACUUCCGUCGAGGACGACUUCAUUUCAAGAAGGGGAGGAUGAUGAGGACAUCAAUACAAUUGUUACACCCACAGCCCCUGCUGCUAUACAUACUGGACCAAUUACUAGAGCUCGUGCACGCCAACUAAAUUACCAGGAAACAGACCCUCGUGGUCAGGUUGAUCGUGCUCCGGCGUGGUCAAUAACCUCUCGGAGUUGGUUUAGCGAUUGCUAA
RNAcentral lists this ribosomal RNA (696 nucleotides) under Triticum aestivum (bread wheat). RNAcentral describes it as "partial small subunit ribosomal RNA". Lineage: Eukaryota; Viridiplantae; Streptophyta; Magnoliopsida; Poales; Poaceae. The record is from RNAcentral.